GGUGGGGGGUGUAUUCAAUUGAAAGUUUUAGGUGAUUUGUGUCAAAAUGACAAAUUCACUGUUAUUGAAACAUGAAUUUUAAAAACCCAUUUAAAAUCCAGUGUUAUUGAACUUGACAUUUUUUAAAGUACUCUAAAAUCCAUUGUUAUUGAAAAUAUUUAAGUUGUGGAGUUUUAAAGUUUUCAAGUGAUUUUAGAGUGUUUGGAUGGAAUUUCUUAGUUAAAAAAAAAAAACAAAACUCAAAUCCCAUGAUUUUAGGUGAUAUUCUAGAGUGGUUUAACAAAAAUUAUUUUAUUCUCUGUAAUUCCUUAAAAUCAUCUAAAACUUCAUUAAAAAUCAAAUCACCUCAAAUUUUAGAUUGAAUACACCUCCUUAGUUAAAAGCUAUUUUUUUCUAAUUCAUAAUUACACUAAGAUACUUCCCUAAAAGACUGCAAUAAACAUGGCCUAAGAUGUUAUUAUUUCUCAGAUAAAAAAAAAAAUCUCAUAUUAUUCAUUAUAAUAUCAUUUAUUAAAAGUGUUAAAUUUUCUCCAACCACAAAAAAGAAAAAGUUAUAGUAGGACACAAGUGGAAGUGUCUUAUAUGACUUUCUUUGUCUCUUUCUUUUUCUUGGCAAUUGUUGCUUUUGGUUUCAAUGCUCAUGAGACAAAUAUUUCAUUCUUUUGAUACUAUUAAAUCCCAAAUAAAAAAAUAACAAAUUUUUUGGGUUCUAUUUAGUAAAUUAAAAUGGAAUUAAUGAAACACAAAUAAAUAGAAUGAUAGGAAUGGAUACAACAGCAAAAUAUAAUGAAUUUUAUUCCAUUCAUUCAUGAACAAAUUUGUUAUGAAAUAAUUUUCUUUGUAUUUUAUCUAAUUAGUUUUGGAAUUAGUAGAAUGAGCAUUCCAUUCCAGUCAUAUCAAAUGGUAGAAGAAAUAUAUGGAAUUAAUGGAUUCAACCAUUCUAGUCAUUCAAUUCUAAAAUAUUAAAAAUAUUGUAAUCUAGUUGCACUCUAAAAUUUAUUUUCUGGGUUCAAAUUUCAGUUGUGUAUUCAGUUCUUGUAAUUGUUUAAGUUAACCAAUUUAUUACACAUUGGCCUAAGUUUAUAUUCUUCCAUAGAAACGCUUGGAUGCGCUAGAUCCGAGUUUGACUCCAGAUGUUUGCACAUGCACACGAUUCAACUAAAUAAACAAAAAUACGGAAUAGUACACAUCGAUCGGAAUACACUGAAGUCGAUUUUGAUUUUUCAAAGUUGUCUGCUUCUAAGACCUAAAGCUAAAGUGUACGUCUUUUAUGGGCCUAGGCUUUAUCUAAUUGGGCUUAUCUCGUAAGGGAUAAAGAAGAUCUGUGAAGGAAAUUGGGGAGUGCUCGUGGAAGUUGCGUCCAGUUGUCACAUUUGCCUGAACAAAUCUUGAACGAAACGCAAUUGAAUCAGGUUUUCUUAAAAGUUGCCAGAGCUACCAAAGUUAUAUCUCUCCAAAGGAGAUAUAGUUGCUCAGGUUAUAGGGAAGUUUAGUAGAAAAUUUGCAUCCACUUUGGACAGAUUAUUCAUCUAUACUAUUAAAGCAGAAUCCCUACUAGGAUUCUGCCCUUAAUUUUUCAAGUUAUUUACAAAUGUAUGCCACUCCCUUAUUUAGAUUUUUUCUAAUUAUUUUUGCCUUAUUUAACAUCAAAUGAAAAAAGAAACAAAAUCAGUUAUGCUAUAAUUCUGAGGACAUUUAGGCAUACGUUGGAUAUUUACUUCCUUAAAAAAAUGCUAUAUUCACUAACCAUAAUAAAUUUACAUACUAAUCUAUUUAAUUAAGGCCUAUUAUUAUUGAAACGAUUUCAUUAGACCGUUUAACCAAAAAAAUCCAACCAAAAUGCCUUCGUUAACUUAUCUAACGAGUUUAAGGCCCAAUCUUAUUUUUUUAAACAAAAAUAUAUUUUAUAAUACUGAUUUUAUCAUCUAACCUAUAAUUUAUUUUCUAUCGUUUAUUUCAAAUUGUUAAAUACAAAUAAACAAUUAUGUAAAUAUUUAUAUUAUAUAGUACCUUAACAUAAAAUCAUUUAUUAUGUCAUUUUGUCCAUAAUAUUGAUAUAGCAAUUAUAAGUGUAAGAAUAUUUUAAAAUUAUUAUAAAAUUAAAUUUAAAUAUAAAAUAAAAAUACAAAUUAUAAUAGGUUAUUAAUAAAAAAUAAACUAAUAUUAUCAUAUCAAUAAACUAAUAUUGUCACAGCAAAAUCAUAAUUGGUUAAUAACAAGUUGUUGGGUUUUUACCAAGGUUUUCAAUCAGAUUUUAAUAAAAGAUUUUUUCAUUGAAUCCGAACAAGAUUAUAUACAUGGUUUCAUCUCGAUCGGUUCAACCACUGAUUUGGAUCAGAUAUGAAAAUAGUACUUGAACCUCAAACAUUAUAAUAAAUUAACAUUAAAUUAUUUAUUUUCUAAUAAAAUGUUGACAUAAAAAACUGGUGUACUUUCAAAAAUAUUAUUAGCUUCUAAAUCUAAUAAAGAUAAAAAAAAUAUUUGUAUAUUGAUGGUUAGAACUAUAAUACAAAUAUAUGACAAGAAAAACUCAUUUUCAGUGUAAAAUCGACAAUUUACAUCAUUACUCUAUAUAUAUAUACACUAUUAAAUCACACAUAUCAUCUUUAAAUCUAUUUCAAAAAAUACCAUAUUUUGAAAAAAAAUGAAAAUGAUAAAAGUUUAAAAAAUUUUAUUGUUAAGAUAUGAAAAGAAGAUAAUAUUAAUUUUUAAAUUAAUUUCAGUAAAUGAAAAACAAAAUCCGCGCUUUUCAAAGCGCGGGUCAAAACCUAGUAAUCUAUAUUAUAAUAGUUGAAUUUUUACUCACUCCUCAGCACGUCACGUCAGCAUUUUGUGAGUUCUAAUUUUUUAAAAAAUGUGAAAAACUGUCAAGUCCAUGGUUCGAACCCAGGUUUUUGAAACAUAUACACCAAAAUUUAUAUCACUAAGCUAAAUAAUAUUUUGUACAUUAAUGGCCGAACCUAAUAUAUAUUUAUGAAGGUCGUAAGCCCUUGCUUCUUCAGCUUCCUCUGAGGGUCGAAUCUACAAGUGUGUUACGGGUUUCAUUUUUAAAUGAGAUUCAUCAUGUUAUAUGAAAGCAGGUUCCAUUGUGAAAGCAGGUUUACUCCCGUCGGACAUGCUAAUCAUUACAUGCCAUCUUUGAAAGCAGGUUCCAUUGUGAAAGUCGAUUGUUUUGAGGUUGCUAGGUGCUCAAGCAUGUACAAGAUAACUGAUCAUCCAUUCCUUAUUUGUUUCAUCUCACUAACCAUUAUUGAUGAAGUCAUCACGGGUGCUCCUGAGAUCAAUCUCCAGUCAAAAUUAGACUGUUCGACAAUCUCCAAGUGAACACAAACCUAGAACUCCCAUAUGUGGUUGGGCAAAUCCGUUAUGUCCAGGGCUCUGACCUCACCAAAGAAACAACUCGAGUCGUUAUCCGUCUCCUCAUUGAUCCGUAAGAAACAAUCAACACAUAAUUCCCUUUAUAUUACUGUCUAUAUUGUUAUAACAUCAAUAAUAAAAAAUAUUUCAUACCCAAGAUUUGUGGUCGUCUAUCUAUCUAUGUCCCUUACUUAUCAAUCUAAUUUUACACGAAUUUUUAUUUUACAGCUUUAAAGAAACCACAAUAACCCAAACAAUCAAAACACCAAAAACUAGAAUCCCAAAAAGACGAAUCAUUAAUGAUCACCUUUCUUUUUGUCUAAUCUUACAAAUAAACUUCAAAACAAAUAUGCCAAACCAAUCAACUCAACUAAAACUCAAUGACACAUACAUUGAGUCAGUGAAACAAAUACAAACUACACGACCAGCUAUUUAACAAUUUACAAACUUACUUUCGCAGAUGCUUACGAAGAAGACGAAGACGCAACCAAGAUCAGUGAAAUUACCUAAACAAAAAAAUAGAGUAAGUUACAAACUCUGAUAAAUACAAUUAACAAUGAUUUUUGUUUACAUAUUAUCCAUCAAAUAAAAGAGAAACAAAAACAACCACACCAAGAGAUACAAGAGACAAUCCCAACAUACACAAAGGCGACAACAACAUCUCCACCUGUUCACUCCUCUUGUCUUAUGAAAAUAGCUUACAUGCUCAAUGCCAACAUGCCAAUGCUAUUGUCUUCUUAUGAGAAAUACAUAUAUUCGUUUAAAACCCAUUAACGCCCAAAUACUAAUUGUCACUCAUUUUAUAGUUAAUUCUACAAGUCUUCAUGUAUUUGUUUUAAAGAUCCGGUAAAAGCAACAAGUUAAAAAAAACAUAUAACCAACAUAAUAAGAAUAAAAAAAUUAUUACUUAAUACACACAACUUACAGAACUAAACUAGAGAAAAAAAAUCCAGAAAUAAAAGUUACUUUCAACAACAUUAAUAUAAUUUAUGUAAUCUCAACAGUACAAGUAACAAAUUUAAAAGACAAACAAACAAUAAGUUUCAAU
Brassica rapa (field mustard) is the source of this 4405-nucleotide long non-coding RNA. RefSeq lists it as uncharacterized. The record is from RefSeq and is a predicted model, not a curated record. Lineage: Eukaryota; Viridiplantae; Streptophyta; Magnoliopsida; Brassicales; Brassicaceae.